GAAUAUUGGACAAUGGGCGAAAGCCUGAUCCAGCCAUGCCGCGUGGGUGAAGAAGGCCCUAGGGUUGUAAAGCCCUUUCGGCGGGGACGAGGAUGACGGUACCCGCAGAAGAAGCCCCGGCUAACUUCGUGCCAGCAGCCGCGGUAAUACGAAGGGGGCUAGCGUUGCGCGGAAUUACUGGGCGUAAAGGGCGCGUAGGCUGCCAUGUUAGUCAGAUGUGAAACCCCCGGGCUCAACCUGGGAACUGCAUUUGAUACGGCAUGGCUUGAGGACGAGAGAGGGUGGUGGAACUCCCAGUGUAGAGGUGAAAUUCGUAGAUAUUGGGAAGAACACCAGUGGCGAAGGCGGCCACCUGGCUCGUUCCUGACGCUGAGGCGCGAAAGCGUGGGGAGCAAACAGG
This 400-nucleotide ribosomal RNA is filed under the name uncultured bacterium. RNAcentral's name for it is "bacterial SSU rRNA". It matches the Rfam family "Bacterial small subunit ribosomal RNA", at positions 359 to 776 of the family's 1533-position model. The record is from RNAcentral.